Molecule: long non-coding RNA, 4788 nt
Filed under: Nicotiana tabacum (common tobacco)
Lineage: Eukaryota; Viridiplantae; Streptophyta; Magnoliopsida; Solanales; Solanaceae
Description: long non-coding RNA (NTAB_LNC010760)
Source: RNAcentral
ACAGUUGCUAACAUAUUGACAUUUGAUAACAAAUGUGAGAAAAUUAUGACAUUUUGAUUUAAAUGUUGCAAUAUUAAUAAGCAAUUACCGACAAUUACAAUUAAAGAAGGAAACUUUAACCUAAUGUCUUUCUUUUAAAUACGUGAAAUGAAACAAAUUAGACCCACAACGGCGGCUACGGUGAUAUAAUUCUUCUAGGUCUCCUUCACUCUGCUCCCAGAGUUCUUGCUGGCCUUUGGAAUCCUCUGCUAAUGGUGCCUUAUCAGUCGAUUGCUUCUUUUCUGCUUUUGAUACCGUCGUAGACAGGAAGGAUUGAGAAAGCAAAGUUGCGACUUGGGAGGAGAUCGGCUACAGACGAUAUAUUAUUUAAAAUUAAGAUGAGAUUUCCUUCUGAAGUUCGAUGUCUCCACUGAUUCGAAUAUGAAGUCCCUCGAUCUCUCUUUCUCUGCUAAUUAUUAUUCAUACAUUUUUGUUCAUUGAUAAUCAUACAAUUAAGUUUAGUUAUUUUAAGGUUUUUAUAGUGUGUAGCUUUGAUGAUAUUAUUUGCUUGCAAAAUUGGUGCUUUAUUGAAAUAUUUGCUGCUUUUAUGCAGCGCUUUCAUAUGUUCGUAUGAUAUCUAGUUUGGAGUGCUUAAGGGGAAGGUAAAGAUUGUUUUUUUUUUGGGUUAUCUAAGCAAAUUUUAUUUUGUUUUUGAUAAAGCAUUAAUUAAUUUUGUUUGAUUUUCCAUCUUGCUUUAGAGUAAGGAAUUUAUUGUCUAACUCUAAUUAGUGUAAUGAAUGUUAUCAGGUUUUUCAUCUAAAGAUACUCAAAUGGUUGAUUGUUGGCUCAUACGUCUAUUCCAAUGUAAAGAUUAAUCAUUGGCGUCAAUUUCUUGGUAGGAGGAAUGUGAAAAUGAGAUAAUUCUUUUUUCAAUUCUAACACUGAUUUCAAAUAGGAUACAAAUAUUCAGUGAUCUUAAUUGGCAUUUGGCAAGCUGAUUAACAAAGAGUUUUGCUUGAUAGUGGAGUUUGGACGAAACUGGCUAUGCAUGUAUCUUUAGUUUUGCCUCUAUUUGGUCUUGUUCUAAAAAGCUAUAUUUUUAAGUUUUCUUUUGUAUUUUUUGUUUACUUAUAUAUGAUAUAUCAAGUAUGCCUCACUCAAAUGAGCUCUGUUUCUCGCAGGGUUACAUUUAGAUGUAUUCUUGGUAUGGAGCUCAAUUUAGGUGUAUGCUAGUUUUGGAGCUCCGUGUUUAUUCCUUGUACAGUAAACUUCUGCUAGGUGAAUAAAAUGUGCUCCUUAACGGUGGUUGCUAAAGUUAGGAUUGUUGAUUCCAAUAUCACCAAAUUCAAUACUCCACCAAACUUUUACCAGAGUUGUUUAACAUUUAAAUUGUUGUGUAUCUCUGUCAAAUUCAUGAUAAUAUUGUCCUUGAUUUCUGUUAAGGUAUGUAAUUGAUUGUUGCAGUCUUUGUAAGUUAGUUUUAUUUGUUAUAUUUUUUGGAUUAGGAGAUACUUUACUUAGAAAGAUAAGUAUUGGACUAUAAUAACAUACAACUACUUAAGCGAUAGCUGCUAUCUUUGAUUAAAUCCUACUGCAUAGUUUAUAGAGUUACCCAAUAUCCUUUCUGUUCUCUUCUAGGGGAUUUAUUACUUAAAGUUGGAAUUCUGCAAUAAUUAGUGGUAUUAGCCAUCAUUUUGAUCAUCACCUCAGAUAAUCCUUUUCUUGCAAUUCAGGAUAUUAACAAAUGAGUAGGCACUCAAGCGACUUGGAGAGGAAGCUCCUAAAAGAAAGUAGCAGAAGGAGUGGAAAAAAGAGCUGAAGAAGUGAAGAUAUCUCUUGUCUCGAUAUUAGUUUGAAUCCAGCAAUGUUUAAUUGUAAAGGUUUAUAGCUAUUCACAAUUUUAUUCUUGUAUAGGGAUCUUAUGUUUGCAAAUAUUUUUUUUGUUUAAAUUCUCUAUGGUGAAUGACAUUUGUAGGUACAAUUUGAACUUUGAUGGUUAUACUUUCCUGUUAAUGGAAUAAAAUUUUUGUUUCUACAUUAUAGGAUGUGUUGCAUAAACAUCAAUGAGUAUUUCAAUUUUGACAUUAAAGGAUGUGCUACAGAAGUGUCACUAGUCACUCAAAUUUCGCAGACACUUUUAAAUGUCAUAAACUAAAUAAGCUACAAACUAUUUAUUUACCGACAAUAUAUUAAAUGUCAGAAAAUUUAAUGUGACAUUUCAAAAAGAGUCAUGAAAUAAAUGUUGUAAAUUAUUUACCGACAUUAAUAUAAAUGUCGGAAAUUUCCCAGACAUUGAAAUUUACGACAUUUGACCUAAGUGUAAAAUAAAUGUCAGGUAAGUAAUUUUAUGACAUUUAUGACACUUAAUACGACAUUUAUUAAAUUUCAUCGUAGCCCUUAUUUCUUGUAGUGUUUGCUUCAUUUUUGCACGUUACAUUCGUACUUUGGUUUUGAACUGAGUGAAUGUGAUAGAAGAAGCAAACGAAAUAGCAUCCACAAAUGGCUUAUUAAAUACUAUUUACAUGAAAAAAAGUACUACAAUUAUUUACUUAGUUGGAAAAAAAAGUACAAUUAUUUACUUCACUAUUAUAAUAGGUUAGACAACAUAUGCUGAUUUGAAAUUUGAUAUGCAGAAGGGUAUUUCUUUUAUCACUCUAUUCCAUGUUGUAUUGUCUCCUUUUUAUUUUUUGUUUUUAAAAUAGAAUGAUAUUUUUUAAUAUUUGAAAAUAACUUAACUUUGAACUUCUUAUUUUAUCCUUAAUAAUAUUAUUUUUUUAGUCAUAAAUCUCAUAACAUGCUUAAGACGAGAAGAUCCAUAUUUUUUUCUUAAUCUCUAUACUCAAUCAAAUAAGUUCAUGUAAAAUAAAAUAGGAGGAGUAAAAUUGAUUUCCGUUUCAAAAAAACUUUGUGAAAAAUAUAUAGCCGUAGACUCGUAUUUUUGAUUGAAUUUGGCAGUGGAAAAAGAACUUUCUUUUUAAAAAACAAACACCCUUAAACCACUUCCCAAGAAAUCAACAAGCUUGUUACAAGAUUUCAACAAAUAAAAAAAUUCAUGCAUCGGUAAAUUACUUAUUUCUUUCAUAUUUUCAUUUUAUAUUCACCACAAAUUAAUAUUAGUUCAAGUAAUUGUAUGUAGUGUCAUUAAUUAAGUCUUGGUUUGAAGUUAAACCUAAUUUUACAUCUGGCAAUGCAUAGCCCAUACUGCCUAAUGCAUGUCCUUUUUUAAAUUUGUGAAACUUAUCAUCUUUAUUACUUUUAAAUUCAAAUCUUUAUUUCUUUUCUUAUAUAGGAGGAUGGGAGGAAAUAUGUACCGGUUAAUUCCAACCAUCCACUUUAGUGUCAACGGGCUCAAAUAUUGAAUACUAUAUACUCCCUCCGUUCCAAUUUAUGUGAACCUGUUUGAUUGGACACGGAGUUUAAGAAAAAAUAAAACUUUUGAAAUUUGUGGUCCUAAACAAUUCAAAAAGGGGCCCAGAGUAUUUGUGUGGUUAUAAAAACUUCUCAUUAAGGGUAGAAUUGUAAGUUUAAGCAAUUUUGUUUCCAAAUUUAGAAAUGGGUCAUUUUUUUAGAACGGACCAAAAAGGAAAUAAGUUCACAUAAACUGGAACGGAGGUAGUAUAUAAAUAGAGUUAAUACCCUAAAAUCUGCCAAAACUAUAUAAACUUUGUCAGUUGCCUAUCUAAACUAUCGCAUGUCCCCGAAAACUCCUUGAACUAUAUCUCCUUUCAUAAUAAAACUCUCUCGCCGCAUUCUUACUGGUGUGUAUAAUACACGCUCCAAAUUAUUUUUAAAAUUUGCCAUGUGGCAUUCUACGUGGAUAUUUGUUUGGCUUAAUCUAAAAAACAUACUUAAUUAGGAUUUUAAUGCUCUUUAUUAUAUCAUUGUAAAAAUUACACGAUAAAAAAAAGGGGGGGGGGGGGAGGGGGGGGGCUAGAGUUAAAACUAAGUGGGUAAUUGUAAAAAAACAUAUUUUCUCUUUGCUCUCAUCGGAGACUUUGCUCUCAUAAGAGAAUGGCUACACCUUCUCAGUAGCGAUUUUCUCCAUUAAUCUUGGUUCUAACCUCAAUUGCUUUGUCUAUUCUAGCUUCUGUUAAAAAAUGGGAUAAAAACUAGGGGUCUGCUCCUGAAUCGGUAUAGAAGAUUAUAGUUUUGACAAGAGAGAGGGAGAGAAUUUCAGAUAGAUUCAAUGAAGAAAUAGAGAAGAAAGGUGAAAAUAUGAGGAAGGAAGGUGAAAUAUAAUGAAAAAAGGAGAAAAUAAAAAGAAACACUGUCAGGUAGGCCAUUUUAAUGGUUUUUUGCCGCCUUCACGCGCUCUUUGGCAAUUUAUUAUACACAUUGUGCCACAUAAGCGACGAAGGGGGUAUUAUUAAGAAGGGGUUAUAGUUCAGGGGGUUUUUAAGGACAAGCGAUAGUUUAGGUAGGCAAUUGACAAAAGUUGUAUAGUUUAGACGGUUUCAAUAUAUUAACACUAAAAAAACACUUAACAUAUUUACAAGUAUUAAGCUUUGAACUCAUAAUUGCAAAAAUACAAUAAAUUCAGUAAUGAGAACAUAAAGGGUUGAACCCCAUCAAAGUUAAAUCCUAGAUUCGCCUUAAUCGGGGGACACUUUGAUUAAUUUAGUUCCAACGGGCAGGGUUCUAUUGAACCGCAAUAUCUUUUAAGCAAAGCAUAGAUAUACGUUUUCAAAAGUCCAUGAGUUUAACGUUAAAAACUUUAAAGAUUGAAUUCAUCGAGUUUAAACUCUGAAUCUGUCCCUCGUUCAACCCUUAUACCAGGAAAAAAAAUGGAAAAAGAGAACACUUACUAGG